UUACGGCCGUAUCACAUAGAAACACCGGUUCCCACCUGAUGACCGAAGUUAAAGCAAAGUCGAGCCUGAUCAGUACCUAAAUGAGUGACCGCUUGGGAAUACCAGUUGCUGCAA
Non-coding RNA from Acanthosepion pharaonis, 114 nucleotides. The record is from the annotation of a GenBank genome assembly. NCBI's taxonomy places the organism in Eukaryota, Metazoa, Mollusca, Cephalopoda, Sepiida, Sepiidae.